AAAUUGAAGAGUUUGAUCAUGGCUCAGAUUGAACGCUGGCGGCAGGCCUAACACAUGCAAGUCGAACGGUAACAGGAAGCAGCUUGCUGCUUUGCUGACGAGUGGCGGACGGGUGAGUAAUGUCUGGGAAACUGCCUGAUGGAGGGGGAUAACUACUGGAAACGGUGGCUAAUACCGCAUAACGUCGCAAGACCAAAGAGGGGGACCUUCGGGCCUCUUGCCAUCAGAUGUGCCCAGAUGGGAUUAGCUUGUUGGUGAGGUAACGGCUCACCAAGGCGACGAUCCCUAGCUGGUCUGAGAGGAUGACCAGCCACACUGGAACUGAGACACGGUCCAGACUCCUACGGGAGGCAGCAGUGGGGAAUAUUGCACAAUGGGCGCAAGCCUGAUGCAGCCAUGCCGCGUGUAUGAAGAAGGCCUUCGGGUUGUAAAGUACUUUCAGCGGGGAGGAAGGUGUUGUGGUUAAUAACCACAGCAAUUGACGUUACCCGCAGAAGAAGCACCGGCUAACUCCGUGCCAGCAGCCGCGGUAAUACGGAGGGUGCAAGCGUUAAUCGGAAUUACUGGGCGUAAAGCGCACGCAGGCGGUCUGUCAAGUCGGAUGUGAAAUCCCCGGGCUCAACCUGGGAACUGCAUUCGAAACUGGCAGGCUUGAGUCUUGUAGAGGGGGGUAGAAUUCCAGGUGUAGCGGUGAAAUGCGUAGAGAUCUGGAGGAAUACCGGUGGCGAAGGCGGCCCCCUGGACAAAGACUGACGCUCAGGUGCGAAAGCGUGGGGAGCAAACAGGAUUAGAUACCCUGGUAGUCCACGCCGUAAACGAUGUCUACUUGGAGGUUGUGCCCUUGAGGCGUGGCUUCCGGAGCUAACGCGUUAAGUAGACCGCCUGGGGAGUACGGCCGCAAGGUUAAAACUCAAAUGAAUUGACGGGGGCCCGCACAAGCGGUGGAGCAUGUGGUUUAAUUCGAUGCAACGCGAAGAACCUUACCUGGUCUUGACAUCCACAGAACUUUCCAGAGAUGGACUGGUGCCUUCGGGAACUGUGAGACAGGUGCUGCAUGGCUGUCGUCAGCUCGUGUUGUGAAAUGUUGGGUUAAGUCCCGCAACGAGCGCAACCCUUAUCCUUUGUUGCCAGCGGUUAGGCCGGGAACUCAAAGGAGACUGCCAGUGAUAAACUGGAGGAAGGUGGGGAUGACGUCAAGUCAUCAUGGCCCUUACGACCAGGGCUACACACGUGCUACAAUGGCGCAUACAAAGAGAAGCGACCUCGCGAGAGCAAGCGGACCUCAUAAAGUGCGUCGUAGUCCGGAUUGGAGUCUGCAACUCGACUCCAUGAAGUCGGAAUCGCUAGUAAUCGUGGAUCAGAAUGCCACGGUGAAUACGUUCCCGGGCCUUGUACACACCGCCCGUCACACCAUGGGAGUGGGUUGCAAAAGAAGUAGGUAGCUUAACCUUCGGGAGGGCGCUUACCACUUUGUGAUUCAUGACUGGGGUGAAGUCGUAACAAGGUAACCGUAGGGGAACCUGCGGUUGGAUCACCUCCUUACCU
Molecule: ribosomal RNA, 1545 nt
Filed under: Salmonella enterica
Lineage: Bacteria; Pseudomonadati; Pseudomonadota; Gammaproteobacteria; Enterobacterales; Enterobacteriaceae
Description: bacterial SSU rRNA
Rfam family: Bacterial small subunit ribosomal RNA
Source: RNAcentral